UUGGUUUGUUUCCGGUGGUUGGCUCUCUGCUAUUGCAACAACUUCCACCUGGCAUUCCUCUUCGGUUUUUCGUCAAGGUUGCAUUUCCUUGAGCGCUAUGGGUUUCCUGUGCUGCCUGCCUACGUGAUGGUAUUGGUUGAUUAAAUCAAAGUCGCGUUUCAUCAUGCGUCAUUCGUAUGGCGUAGGAUGAACCUAUAGAAAAUUCGAUGAUCCACCUUGUUGAUGCACAUGCAUCGAUGUUGUGGCUCAUAGUUUUGCUUGGUUUUCAAGAUACAGAACAUGAUAUGGGUUUGGGUCUCUCCGAUCCUUUUUUGCCCUCGUUGAACGUUGUUAUUACUUUGAGAUGACUGCCUAUCCCGAAUUGGCUCGUACCCAUCGGGGUAGCUUACGUUGUUCAAGAGAAUACUAGCGUUCUUGCUUCUCUAAAAUAGACGGCCUCUCCUGUGUUGGCUUGUACCAGCGGGUGGGCUAUGUCGAAAAGGGAUGCUACCUGGUUGAUCCUGCCAGUAGUCAUAUGCUUGUCUCAA
Molecule: unclassified non-coding RNA, 527 nt
Filed under: Pulicaria pulvinata
Lineage: Eukaryota; Viridiplantae; Streptophyta; Magnoliopsida; Asterales; Asteraceae
Description: contains 3 external transcribed spacer, ETS
Source: RNAcentral